GCGAGCGGCGGAUGGGGUGAGUAACACGUGGGGAACCUGCCCCUAAGUCUGGGAUACCAUUUGGAAACAGGUGCUAAUACCGGAUAAUAAAGCAGAUCGCAUGAUCAGCUUUUGAAAGGCGGCGUAAGCUGUCGCUAAGGGAUGGCCCCGCGGUGCAUUAGCUAGUUGGUAAGGUAACGGCUUACCAAGGCGACGAUGCAUAGCCGAGUUGAGAGACUGAUCGGCCACAUUGGGACUGAGACACGGCCCAAACUCCUACGGGAGGCAGCAGUAGGGAAUCUUCCACAAUGGACGCAAGUCUGAUGGAGCAACGCCGCGUGAGUGAAGAAGGUUUUCGGAUCGUAAAGCUCUGUUGUUGGUGAAGAAGGAUAGAGGUAGUAACUGGCCUUUAUUUGACGGUAAUCAACCAGAAAGUCACGGCUAACUACGUGCCAGCAGCCGCGGUAAUACGUAGGUGGCAAGCGUUGUCCGGAUUUAUUGGGCGUAAAGCGAGCGCAGGCGGAAAAAUAAGUCUAAUGUGAAAGCCCUCGGCUUAACCGAGGAACUGCAUCGGAAACUGUUUUUCUUGAGUGCAGAAGAGGAGAGUGGAACUCCAUGUGUAGCGGUGGAAUGCGUAAAUAUAUGGAAGAACACCAGUGGCGAAGGCGGCUUCUCUGGUCUGCAACUGACGCUGAGGCUCGAAA
This 683-nucleotide ribosomal RNA is filed under the name uncultured bacterium. Its description in RNAcentral is "bacterial SSU rRNA". It matches the Rfam family "Bacterial small subunit ribosomal RNA", at positions 91 to 758 of the family's 1533-position model. The record is from RNAcentral.